This 501-nucleotide ribosomal RNA is filed under the name uncultured bacterium. Its description in RNAcentral is "bacterial SSU rRNA". It matches the Rfam family "Bacterial small subunit ribosomal RNA", at positions 15 to 518 of the family's 1533-position model. The record is from RNAcentral.
GAUCAUGACUCAGGAUGAACGCUGGCGGCGUAGCUUAACACAUGCAAGUCGAACGGAGUUUUAACGGAAGUUUCGGAUGGAAGUUAAGAACUUAGUGGCGGACGGGUGAGUAACGCGUGGGUAACCUGCCUCAUACAGGGGGAUAACAGUUAGAAAUGACUGCUAACACCGCAUAAUAUAGUGAAACCGCAUGAUUUUGCUAUCAAAUAUUUAUAGGUAUGAGAUGGGCCCGCGUCUGAUUAGCUAGUUGGUGGGGUAAAAGCCUACCAAGGCGACGAUCAGUAGCCGGCUUGAGAGAGUGACCGGCCACAUUGGGACUGAGACACGGCCCAAACUCCUACGGGAGGCAGCAGUGGGGAAUAUUGGACAAUGGGGGAAACCCUGAUCCAGCGAACCGCCGCGUGAGUGAAGAAGUAUUUCGGUAUGUAAAGCUCUAUCAGCAGGGAAGAUAAUGACAGUACCUGACUAAGAAGCCCCGGCUAACUACGUGCCAGCCGCUGC